RNAcentral lists this small nuclear RNA (152 nucleotides) under Otolemur garnettii (small-eared galago). RNAcentral's name for it is "U2 spliceosomal RNA". It matches the Rfam family "U2 spliceosomal RNA". Rfam says of the family: U2 is a small nuclear RNA (snRNA) component of the spliceosome (involved in pre-mRNA splicing). Complementary binding between U2 snRNA (in an area lying towards the 5' end but 3' to hairpin I) and the branchpoint sequence (BPS) of the intron results the bulging out of an unpaired adenosine, on the BPS, which initiates a nucleophilic attack at the intronic 5' splice site, thus starting the first of two transesterification reactions that mediate splicing. The record is from Rfam by way of RNAcentral. Lineage: Eukaryota; Metazoa; Chordata; Mammalia; Primates; Galagidae.
ACCACUUUUUGACUAAAAUCAUUAUCUGUUUAAAAUCAGAUAUGUACUCUAUUAAAUUGGUUUUUGGAGUAGGGAGAUGGAACAGGAGCUUGUUUCAUCCAUUCCAUACAACAACCUGGUAUCACAGUACUUCCAGGAAUGGUGUACCCCUC